CUAUGUCAGAGUAAGCAAGGUGGUUGAAGA
RNAcentral lists this non-coding RNA (30 nucleotides) under Homo sapiens (human). The record is from RNAcentral. Lineage: Eukaryota; Metazoa; Chordata; Mammalia; Primates; Hominidae.